UGUGGACGACGUAGCUCAGCAGAGAACCAAACACUUCCCACCUCUGGACGAUGUCGUUCCCGCUCCUGCCUCCGCCACUGUCUCAGCCUUCUCUUCGUCGUCGCUGCCGACUCCGCCGCUGUCUAAGCCUUCUCUACGCCGUCGCUCCCACCUCCUCCGACGUCUAAGCCUGCUCCAAAGUUUCUGCCAUUGUCGUCUCUUCCCGACUGUACUGCGGUCUCCAUCACCAUCCUAUAGUCUACUGUGGAUGAGGAAAUAAGAAGACCGCCAAUUUCAAUCACUCAUUUCAAAAUGUGAGGCCGAAAGACAAGAAUGGGAGAAGACUGCCUAGGAUUCAGCAUCCACCUGCAACACCGAAGAAGAAUCCGUUUGAUGAUGUUCCUCUGCAUAGAUGUGAGGGCAGUGAUCACUAUAAGGAAGAAGAUUAGGAAGGGGCUUGUUGACAAGAUUGAAGACCAAUGAGUAUCUUCCAUCAAUGGGAUUGGGGGUGCACUGAAGCCAACUGAGAACUGAAGGUGAGCAAGCCACAUAUGCAAGUGCAAACAAUGACCUAAAAGGCACAAAGGCAUAUCAAGAAGUUGAUGUCCCUGGGCUAUACAAUCUUGCAAUGGCCAUAAUUGAUUACAGAGGUCACAGGGUCGUUCAACAGGUAGUUGAAGCUGCAAAGCGUCUCCACUUGAACUUACAUGCUGUCUAUGAUGGAUCUGGAAAUAUUUUUGAGUUGGUUGCAUCAGUGGAGUACAAGGGUAUUGUUGGCAGCGAUGACAGGCAUUAUAUAUUGGACCUGAUGAGAGUCACACCUUGUGAUGCCAAUUGUACCUGUCCAGGUUCCAGAUUUUGUAUUUUGAGACCUGAGUUGAACAGGCGUUUCUGACCUAAUUAAGGCCAUCUCCGACCACUUUUCGAUGGUCGGAAAAUGACAAAUUUCCAGCAGUGUAGCUCUGAAGCAAAUUCUGGAAAAAUAGCAGUUUCGGAUUUUGUUACUUUUUUCGCUGUAGGGUCUUUAUAUUUAUUGUCACAUUUAGAUGCAAAACUUUC
Molecule: long non-coding RNA, 1038 nt
Organism: Ipomoea nil (Japanese morning glory)
Lineage: Eukaryota; Viridiplantae; Streptophyta; Magnoliopsida; Solanales; Convolvulaceae
Exons: 7
Source: RefSeq, a predicted model, not a curated record